UUCUUAUCGAGAGAGGCAGAGGGACUGACCCUGUGAAGCCUCGGCAACCGGCAGAUGCAUGCACGGUGCCAAUUUCAGUGGAAGGCGAAAGUCAUUCCGAAGAUGAGAG
Molecule: non-coding RNA, 109 nt
Filed under: Halobacillus sp.
Lineage: Bacteria; Bacillati; Bacillota; Bacilli; Caryophanales; Bacillaceae
Also listed under: 1 other name
Description: SAM-I sequence
Rfam family: SAM riboswitch aptamer (S box leader)
About the family: The SAM riboswitch is found upstream of a number of genes which code for proteins involved in methionine or cysteine biosynthesis in Gram-positive bacteria. The SAM riboswitch acts at the level of transcription termination control. The predicted structure consists of a complex stem-loop region followed by a single stem loop terminator region.
Source: RNAcentral